AGUGCGGAAGCUACCAGCCACAUGUGGCUAUGAGCACUUGGAGUAUGGCCAGUGUGGCUGAAACACUGACUUUCUAAUGGUAUUUAAUUGGGAAUCCUGGAUUCAGGUGAUCAGAGUGGUGGAACUUCCUUCUUCAUUUCCCCUGCCCCUAAGUCUACACUAGAGUAACCCCUUGAAGAUUCCUCACAAAUAAACACCUGCGCAACCUUGA
Gorilla gorilla gorilla (western lowland gorilla) is the source of this 211-nucleotide long non-coding RNA. RefSeq lists it as uncharacterized. Lineage: Eukaryota; Metazoa; Chordata; Mammalia; Primates; Hominidae. The record is from RefSeq and is a predicted model, not a curated record. The transcript has 2 exons.